This 253-nucleotide ribosomal RNA is filed under the name uncultured bacterium. RNAcentral describes it as "partial 16S ribosomal RNA". It matches the Rfam family "Bacterial small subunit ribosomal RNA", at positions 524 to 776 of the family's 1533-position model. The record is from RNAcentral.
UACAGAGGGUGCUAGCGUUGUUCGGAAUUAUUGGGCGUAAAGGGCGCGUAGGCGGCCUCGCAUGUCUGAUGUGAAAGCCCACCUCUUAAAGGUGGAAUUGCAUCGGAAACUGCGAGGCUAGAGUGCCGGAGAGGGUGGUGGAAUUCCUGGUGUAGAGGUGAAAUUCGUAGAUAUCAGGAGGAACACCGGUGGCGAAGGCGGCCACCUGGACGGUAACUGACGCUGAGGCGCGAAAGCGUGGGGAGCGAACAGG